UGCNAGUCGAGCGAACCGAUGGAGUGCUUGCAUUCCUGAGGUUAGCGGCGGACGGGUGAGUAACACGUAGGCAACCUGCCUGUACGACCGGGAUAACUCCGGGAAACCGGAGCUAAUACCGGAUAGGAUGCCGAACCGCAUGGUUCGGCAUGGAAAGGCCUUUGAGCCGCGUACAGAUGGGCCUGCGGCGCAUUAGCUAGUUGGUGGGGUAACGGCCUACCAAGGCGACGAUGCGUAGCCGACCUGAGAGGGUGAACGGCCACACUGGGACUGAGACACGGCCCAGACUCCUACGGGAGGCAGCAGUAGGGAAUCUUCCGCAAUGGACGAAAGUCUGACGGAGCAACGCCGCGUGAGUGAGGAAGGUCUUCGGAUCGUAAAACUCUGUUGUCAGGGAAGAACCGCCGGGAUGACCUCCCGGUCUGACGGUACCUGACGAGAAAGCCCCGGCUAACUACGUGCCAGCAGCCGCGGUAAUACGUAGGGGGCAAGCGUUGUCCGGAAUUAUUGGGCGUAAAGCGCGCGCAGGCGGCUUCUUAAGUCAGGUGUGAAAGCCCACGGCUCAACCGUGGAGGGCCAUCUGAAACUGGGGAGCUUGAGUGCAGGAGAGGAGAGCGGAAUUCCACGUGUAGCGGUGAAAUGCGUAGAGAUGUGGAGGAACACCAGUGGCGAAGGCGGCUCUCUGGCCUGUAACUGACGCUGAGGCGCGAAAGCGUGGGGAGCAAACAGGAUUAGAUACCCUGGUAGUCCACGCCGUAAACGAUGAGUGCUAGGUGUUUGGGGAGUCCACCUCCUCAGUGCCGCAGCUAACGCAAUAAGCACUCCGCCAUGGGGAGUAC
Molecule: ribosomal RNA, 839 nt
Filed under: Aneurinibacillus sp.
Lineage: Bacteria; Bacillati; Bacillota; Bacilli; Caryophanales; Paenibacillaceae
Description: bacterial SSU rRNA
Rfam family: Bacterial small subunit ribosomal RNA
Source: RNAcentral